RNAcentral lists this transfer RNA (56 nucleotides) under Brookesia antakarana. Its description in RNAcentral is "tRNA-Ser". The record is from RNAcentral. Lineage: Eukaryota; Metazoa; Chordata; Lepidosauria; Squamata; Chamaeleonidae.
GAAAGGGUCGAAGAACUGCUAACUCAUAAACCUGAUAUUAACCCAUCAGACCUUUC